This 497-nucleotide ribosomal RNA is filed under the name uncultured bacterium. Its description in RNAcentral is "partial 16S ribosomal RNA". It matches the Rfam family "Bacterial small subunit ribosomal RNA", at positions 28 to 507 of the family's 1533-position model. The record is from RNAcentral.
GAUGAACGCUGGCGGCGUGCCUAAUACAUGCAAGUCGAGCGAACAGACGAGGAGCUUGCUCCUCUGACGUUAGCGGCGGACGGGUGAGUAACACGUGGAUAACCUACCUAUAAGACUGGGAUAACUUCGGGAAACCGGAGCUAAUACCGGAUAAUAUAUUGAACCGCAUGGUUCAAUAGUGAAAGACGGUUUUGCUGUCACUUAUAGAUGGAUCCGCGCCGCAUUAGCUAGUUGGUAAGGUAACGGCUUACCAAGGCAACGAUGCGUAGCCGACCUGAGAGGGUGGUCGGCCACACUGGAACUGAGACACGGUCCAGACUCCUACGGGAGGCAGCAGUAGGGAAUCUUCCGCAAUGGGCGAAAGCCUGACGGAGCAACGCCGCGUGAGUGAUGAAGGUCUUCGGAUCGUAAAACUCUGUUAUUAGUGAAGAACAAAUGUGUAAGUAACUAUGCACGUCUUGACGGUACCUAAUCAGAAAGCCACGGCUAACUACGUG